AAAGAAAAGAAAUCAUUGAACCAACGGUCGAUGAUUAAUUUGAACAGCAAUAAAGAAAACAAUGAUUAGAAGCUUAGCAACUGGUAUGACGUAAAUAUGUAACACGAAUACAAGAAACAAAAUUGUGUUCGAAAGAUAUCGGUUUCUACGAGCUCUAACUGGUUUCGCAUUAAUCGAAUACUGAUUGUAACAGGAAACCAGGAGAAAUUCUAGUUUAAAAAAAAUAUAACGCACUUAGCUUUUAAAACAACUAAGUUAAUGGAGCUCGUGGGGUAAUUGCAAAGAGAUCUAUCUGGUGAACAAUUCAUAGAAAACAAUGAACUCAAUCCCUUAAAUUUCAUUGUAUCAAGUGGAGAAAUUGGAGUGACACACUAUAGGUGAAACUUUAUCCGAUUUUCAUUACUCUUAAUAGAAACAUCCGUAAGUACUUAUUGACAAUGCGGGGAUAAUUCAGGAGCUUUACCGACUACAUGUAAGUAUUCUUUUUUUGAAUAUUAUGCAUUACUAGUACGUGUUAUUUUUUCUUUUUAGAAAUAUUACUUCGAUUAAUAUUUUCAUUAAUACAUUGGAAAGUUUUAUUGUCAAAAGGAAUCCCCUGUUUACAACGUGGCGUGGAAGCCUGCCAGAGUUUUGUGAAAGAAUCCACGCGGCGAAUUCAUGAACACAAAAAUUAAGGGUAUAAAUAGAUUUGUUUGAGUCGUAUGAAAAAGUAUAAGUUUGGUUAGUGGACUGCAUUCGAAAGAAAUCAAAAUUCAUGGACAAAUGAAAAUCUGUAUCAAGGUAGCAUUCGUACACGAUAAUUGAUUGGUACAUCGGAAACAGCGAUCCAUUUACGUCAUUGGAGUUUUCAGCAUAACAUUUCACGUGUUUGUUUAUAUUUACAUUCUUGUUUAGAAGGUUGCGCAAAAAUACGAAGAAACGCCAAUGAAAU
This is a long non-coding RNA of Osmia bicornis bicornis, 931 nucleotides long. RefSeq lists it as uncharacterized. NCBI's taxonomy places the organism in Eukaryota, Metazoa, Arthropoda, Insecta, Hymenoptera, Megachilidae. The record is from RefSeq and is a predicted model, not a curated record. The transcript is spliced from 3 exons.